AACCCUAAAUUUCAUUUCAAAUUGAGAGCCUUUUUCAUUUUCAUUCUCUCUCAAAGAUCUGGAUUUGGAUUUGUGGAUCCAAAAGGAAAAAGAAUCAGAGAUUAUGUGUUGUUGAUCUACAAUAUCAUUGAACUUUUGGCGGGGUAAAAUCUGGAGGGCUCAUGGCAAAAAUUGAUGUUUCUACCAUUGAAGCAACCGUGAGGGAAGAUGAUGAACCGAGUGCUAAUAACACCUGCCUUCCGUCUCGCGAUUAUGUGCUUGAAGAGGAGUUUUAUUUUUUUAGGUUAAAGUUGUUCGAACCUGGCUUUAACUUGGGGUUCUUUUUGCUGUAAAUAUUAAUACGGCAAGGUCUUAGUUCCAUGUAUGUCUUUUCUCACAGAUUUAUCAUCUUGCGAUUAACCGAAGCCAGAGGUCUGAGUCAACUAUGAGAUUCUACAGCUUUUAUUGCUCGGUUAUUUCCUGUGAUUUUGUGUUGAAUUUACAUUUUUGGAAUGAGUUUGGUUGAUUGUUUCCUUUUAAUAUAGGGUUUAUAUAUGUUGAGUUGACGUAUAUGCAGUCCAUCUGGUACGUUUUGGUUUCAAGUCGAUGUGCUUUCUAAUGUGAAUGUCUUGUGUGAACAGCCAGCCAAUUGAAACAUCACUGAAUGUAUCUUCAUCCCUUUUUGAAGGUUAACAUGAAGGUAACUUUCACUUUUGACUGGGUUUCUUAACAGAGCCAUUGAGAACAUUGCUGGUGUGAAGUUUGUCAUCACGUCUGACAUGAUGUUCGCCAACAAGUGAGAAUUCCUCUCAUCAUAUAGAGGAAAAGGAGACUAAGAAGGUGAAAAGGAGUGUUGUUGAUCCUGGGGGUUAUGAGUAGUGAUGCUUUUACUCCUCGGAUUUUGAAUCGAAAUCUCCGUCACGAAGGUGUGCUGCUGAUGAUUUUACUAUGGUGGUAUGUACAUUGCAGAUUUGCAUCCAUAUGUUAAGUGGGCUGAGGAGUAUGUUAAGUGUUUACUAAUAUGAAAAAUUCACCAAUUACUUAUCAUCCAACUCAUGAAUUAACUCUUCCACCCCAGACCAAGAUAGGUGUAGGUAUCUGAAUGCGUUGACAUAGUUACUCAAACAGGAAUGAGGACUUUGGUUCUCACUGGUGAUAAAAUGGAAACAACAAUCAAUACCGGCAUUGAAAGGGGUGAAAAGAGAGGAUGUUCAACUGGCUACAAAAUUUGGGAUCAAAUAUGGGGAGAGAAUGGGUGAGGUGGAAAUCCAUGGUGAACCAGAGUACGUUAGAGCUUGUUGUGAAGCGAGUUUGAAGCGGCUUGAUGUUGAUUACAUUGAUCUUUACUAUAUUCAUCGCAUUGACACAAAAGUCCCUAUCGAAAUCACAGAGAAGAUGAAUCAAAACGGGACUCUUUGGAGGGUCAAGCCUACGGAUUUCCUUUCAGAUUGGCCCAGGGGUAAUUUCGUCAUUAUGGGGUGGGACAGUUUUUUAUAUUUCAUGGUUUCUAUUUGGGAUUCGACAAAAUUAUGCCCAGGCCCACUUCCCUUAUGACUAGGCUGAGUUACCUGUUGUGACUUCUAUGAUGGCCCAGGUAAUUCGUAUGGGCUCUGGUAAUGUUUCAAUUAUGAAGACCAAAGUCCUCCUUAUAUUGAAAGUGGGCUUCAAUGUUACUUUAAUAACGAAGGCCCACUGGGUGGGAUUUAUAAAAGCUUUAUGCGGCAAGAAGGGCUGGGCCUGGGUAUCGAGUGGAGCAUGAAGGCCCAUCAAUGGGCAUUACAAAGUAUGCAGAUCCUGUCUCGGAAUGGGGCCAUGGGGCACUCAAGCAAACGAUAUGGGCCUAAGUUAUGGGGUUGGGGCUGGUCGAAAAAAGAUAAGCAAAGGAUGAGGGCUGGAACAAAGCACACCCCCGUGAGAUAAUGACCGAAGUUCUUAAAGCUUUGCAAGAACUGAAUGUGUGUUGGAAAAAGAUAGGCCACUACAACAUGAAAUGCAGGUGGGCCCCUGGCAACAACUCUAUGCAAAGUAAUCCUUACUUUGGAGAUGAGUUGAGUAUUGUACAGACCGACGGUGCUUUGACCACUCCCAAUGUGCUCAAAUUUGAAGUCCAGCUUUACAAAACCCGCCAAGACAAGUAUUUGCUGGAUCUACAGAGGAUUCAAGGAACAUAGUUUUUGUUUUUUGAUCUCUGUGCGGCGUUUCUCGCUCAGCUUCAUGUCCUGUAGAGCGAGUGAGCGGUUAAUAUAGCAUCAUCAUCAUGAUAGUGAUUAUCAUAGUAUGAUGAACAGCUUUCUCCCCUGAAUUCAAAUGGUGAUGAAAAGCUAGGCUGUUGUAAAUACUAAGUUUACUUGUUUCUGUUAUUAGGGUACUGUACUAUGCUCCGUAUGUACUAUUGAGAACCGAUGUUUUUGCCGACUCAUUACGCAAAGAGAAAGAAGGCUUUAUGGCCAUGAAAGGGUGUUAACUGCCUUAAAGGGCUCUCUUUUUUUCAUUUCAUGUUGAAUUCAUAUAUACAAUUGAUUAUGUUUUGUAAUCUUGUUUGAUGUUCAUUGGCUUUGUAGAAAUUCAUGCCCAUUUGUAUGGUUCGAAUAAAAUAUUUUUAUCAUAAGGUUUGAUAUUAUAUAUAUAUCAAUUUCCAUCGUUGGUUUGCGCUAGGUAUUUUUGGGAGUUUUGGCUUUUCACCACUGAAGUUUAUUUUCUUUGAUUUUUUCCCCACAUGUAUGGAAGUAAGAGGGAAAAUACUAGAAUAGAUAUGCAGAACAUAGAGCAAAAGAUCCAUACACAAAGGAGAGAAUCUGGAGGUGGGCACGGUGGACCAUCGGUGAUUGUUUCCCCUGGUCACUUAAACCUAGAUUAGCCGGCUGUGGCUUCUAGAAAAAAAGGCAACAUGUUGCUGCCAUGCCUCCGGCGGCAGCAACAACGGGCGGAGAUAGCCAUGUUUUGGAGUAGAAUAGGCGGUGAUGAAGGUUCAGGAUCACAGUAGAAGAUCUGGUUGCAUCCGUGUGUCAUGAGAUUGCGGAUUGACUUUCCGACAAGUCGGCUAGGGUUCCGGCGAGAUUCCGAUUACCCGAUUCAGGUUCGCAUGUCUCAGCCCAAAUUAUCUCAGUGUAAAUAUCAUUAUUAAAAGCUAAAAAAUCAUGUUUAUGAAUAUUUCCUUUGAGAUCAAGGUUAUAUGAGAUAGAGUUCGUAUGUCCAGCACACGGCAACACCCUACUAUCUAAAGAAAAUAUAGCAUUUGAAUACAUGCUUAAUUAGACGACUAAAUAUCAAAAAUACCCUUUUUACUAUUGGCCAAUUAUGUAGUUUUAGUGUGAAAGGUCAAAAUCCUGUUACAAGUAACUAAAUUGAUCUAUCUUUUCCCCAUUCAAUAUGCUGCUGAAACAUGAAUUUAUGGAGAAAAUUGUCAAGUAAGAACAUUAACGGGACUGGUGGUUUUACCAUUAGAUUUUUAAAGUUUGGAGAGGUUAAAACCAGUUAUAUUUUAAUUUAGUUGGUCUAUCUAUACUAUAGUAGUUUAGCAGUGAAUGAAACCCAAGUAAAAGCAUAGUGGAAUGUUUUGGGUCAAGGGAAUAGGAACAUGUUUUGGGUUGAUAACUGGUCAAAUGAUAGAAGCUUGGAAAAUAGUUUUCGUUACUGUACCAAUUUAGCCACUAAAAAAAGAACCUUGGUGGUGGAAUGAUACAAAAAGUGUAAUAAUAGUGUCAUUUGGGACUGGGGUUGGGUUAGAGUGUCGGGUAAUAAGGAGGGAAAAAUGGAAAUGGCAAGUUUGAACAUGGUUCUAGGCUUCUAGCACAGCAAGUCAUAACAAAAAAGAUUUGACUCCAAAAGAGAGUAUCUUUUCAUAGAAAGCGAUAGACAGGAAGAUUCCUACUAUGAACGCUAGCUUUAGCAAACAGCGGCAUACCAAUUCAGAAUUCACUAUAUACGUUAUGUGGCGUACUGGACGAGUCAGCGGACCAUGUGCUGGUCAGAUGCACGCUCGCACACAUGGUCCGGCAGCGGCUAUUCUGGAGGAUGAAAGUCCGGACAGGCCGCAAGUUUGACUCGGGGGGUGAGUUGCUACAAAGUGUGAAUGGGUUGGGUUUAUCCUCACACAAGAAGAAAGUUAUACAUGCGGUGUAUCUAUUAGCGCUUUGGAGGGUAUUGUUUUGGAGAAAUCAGAGGACAGAAGUACAUCGGUAUACACGGUUGUUGAAGAAAAAAGCAAACAUCGUUCGAUUGGUGAAGGCAUAGAUCAAGCAUAACAUGGGAGGAAUGGAGAAGAUUUAUGUAAUUCUAAAGAUUAUAGUGUGGAAUGUAGUAUGCCAUGAUGUUGCUGUACUAUUUGGCUACAAUAGCAACUUGCUAUAGUAGUGUGUUUUGGUUAUAUUUGAAUGAAAACUCCAUUGCCUUAAAAAAAGUUUAGGCUUUCAUUAUGCUUGUGUUGAACUCCAACAAUGGCAAUUACAAUUCCUAAGAGUACCAUCAUUUAUUUA
Molecule: long non-coding RNA, 4454 nt
Organism: Helianthus annuus (common sunflower)
Lineage: Eukaryota; Viridiplantae; Streptophyta; Magnoliopsida; Asterales; Asteraceae
Exons: 7
Source: RefSeq, a predicted model, not a curated record